GCCUGGGUAGCUUAGUCGGUUAAGCACCCGACUUCAGCUCAGGUCAUGAUCUUGUGGUUCCUGGUUCAAGCCCUGCUUUGGGCU
Molecule: transfer RNA, 84 nt
Filed under: Felis catus (domestic cat)
Lineage: Eukaryota; Metazoa; Chordata; Mammalia; Carnivora; Felidae
Rfam family: tRNA
About the family: Transfer RNA (tRNA) molecules are approximately 80 nucleotides in length. Their secondary structure includes four short double-helical elements and three loops (D, anti-codon, and T loops).
Source: Rfam by way of RNAcentral